UACGGCCAUAUCAUGUUGAAACUGGCUCCCGUAUGAUCACCAAAGUUAAGCAAUGUCGAGCUUGGUCAGUACUUAGAUGGGUGACCGCUUUGUAAUACCAAGUACUGUAAG
This is a non-coding RNA of Acanthosepion pharaonis, 111 nucleotides long. Lineage: Eukaryota; Metazoa; Mollusca; Cephalopoda; Sepiida; Sepiidae. The record is from the annotation of a GenBank genome assembly.